AUGGUGUGCUUGUCUGAUGGACAGGGCAGCUUAGGGGAAUAAGUCUCUGCAGCGUUGUAGUGAAGAGAGAAUACGGGACAACUGCAGGACCACAGCUCAGCCAAGAGCUCCCUUGCAGCUGAGUUGGCCAUAUGACUGACAGCAAGCCCUGGAAUGCAGCCAGAAGUGAUAGAAGCCUCUUUCACACCAUGCUCCUAAAAUAUUCCAAGAAAUUUUCCAAACCUACUCUUUUUAGUCUGUGCAUCUGGAAGUGAAAGUUUUAGAAAGGGUAAAGUCACUUAAUGGAAAGGGCCCAGAUCUAGCCCCUCGGAGCCAAGCUGUCCAACUAGAAAUUCUGCAUUAGUAUUUGCGAAUGUACCUUCCACGACCCAGGACUGUCUUUCUCAACAACUUGGAAGCCAUCCCUUUGUAAUGUAAUGAUCAAGAAAAAUAGGGCCCAUGCCUACCUGUCUCCAUGGGAAGCAGAUCUUUGGAGAGAAAAUGCCAAGAGUGGAUGGAGAGGCAAUGGUGAAGCUGAGGCUGAAGUCGGAGGAAGCUGUGAACCCUGCAUGGGGUACCUGAACACCAGGGCAAGUUUCUGGCCCAGAAUGGCUUCUGGGAAAGGGGAUAUGACAUCUUAGGAAGAAGGGACUGGGGGAAAGAAAGCACUUUCUGCUUCUGUGGAUAUAAACACACAGUGUUUUAUUCCCUAGUGCAACAAAACCUCAAGAUCAACAGACAAGAGCUGAAAACCCUUUCCCACCAGACACAGUGCCAUCUAAAUGUUCUCUCAAAAGAUAGCAUCUCAUAAACAAUUUCAACAAAAGGAUGUCAGCUUUUACUUUAUGUGCAUGCACAAAAUCACUUUUCAGGAAAAAAAAUGACCAUUACCGAAUCCAUCAUAAAAUUAAUUACAUUUAGUUGAUCACGUUGGCUGACUGGUUAUAACUCUUGCUGUAUUUUCCAGAAGUGUGUUUCAUUUUAUUUAUCAUUAAAGGAAAAAAUAUUGUAGUUUUCCAAUAUACUGUCUAUUGGUGGUUCUCAAACUCCAGUGUAUGCCACAAUUGCCAAAGAAAUUUAACUAAAUGCAGAUUCCUUGGCACUGUCCCUCAAAAUUCCUAUUUACUUUUUCUGGUAUAAGGUACAGAUAAUUCUGAUUUACUUAAGCUAUGGUUUUAGAAACACUACACUCUAAUUCUAAUUAUUCAUGUUAGUUCUCAUGAAAAUAUUCACAUUAAUUCUAAUGAAAUAUAAUGUGACAAUACUAUAUGUAAGAAUUUCCUCCCUGACUUCAUUUUGAUAUGAAUAGGAGGCAGGGAAAUACUGGGUAGAAGGGGGCAGUUCCCCAGCAAAGGCCCCACCUGAACCCUGGAAACCCAUGGCCCUAAAUGGGAACAGGCAUUUCUGUUUUUGCACCCAAAUGUUGCCUUUUCCAAGACCAUUCUGGCCUGCCAUGCCCCUAUCCUGUGUCCAUAUAAACUCCAAGCUCCAGUGGCAAAGUGGCAGAAUGGCAUGACAGAGAAGCAGAGAAUAGAAGGAGUGUCUGAACAUCAGGAAGAUUUUGGCUGGGGACGGUCGGAGAGAGAUCAGCUGCAGGAUGACUGAACUCCAGGGGAAGAUCAUCUUCCCACUCCAUCCCCUUUCCAGGUCCCCAUCCAUCCCACUGAGAGCCACCCCCAUCACUCAAUAAAAUCCCCACAUUCACCAUC
RNAcentral lists this long non-coding RNA (1688 nucleotides) under Homo sapiens (human). RNAcentral's name for it is "long intergenic non-protein coding RNA 499". Lineage: Eukaryota; Metazoa; Chordata; Mammalia; Primates; Hominidae. The record is from RNAcentral.